GACGAACGCUGGCGGCGUGCCUAAUACAUGCAAGUUGAGCGAUGAAGAUUGGUGCUUGCACCCAUUUGAAGAGCAGCGAACGGGUGAGUAACGCGUGGGGAAUCUGCCUUUGAGCGGGGGACAACAUUUGGAAACGAAUGCUAAUACCGCAUAAUAACUUUAAACAUAAGUUUUAAGUUUGAAAGAUGCAAUUGCAUCACUCAAAGAUGAUCCCGCGUUGUAUUAGCUAGUUGGUGAGGUAAAGGCUCACCAAGGCGAUGAUACAUAGCCGACCUGAGAGGGUGAUCGGCCAAAUUGGGACUGGGACACGGCCCAAACUCCUACGGGAGGCAGCAGUAGGGAAUCUUCGGCAAUGGACGAAAGUCUGACCGAGCAACGCCGCGUGAGUGAAGAAGGUUUUCGGAUCGUAAAACUCUGUUGGUAGAGAAGAACGUUGGUGAGAGUGGAAAGCUCAUCAAGUGACGGUAACUACCCAGAAAGGGACGGCUAACUACGUG
RNAcentral lists this ribosomal RNA (497 nucleotides) under uncultured bacterium. RNAcentral's name for it is "partial 16S ribosomal RNA". It matches the Rfam family "Bacterial small subunit ribosomal RNA", at positions 28 to 507 of the family's 1533-position model. The record is from RNAcentral.